RNAcentral lists this transfer RNA (71 nucleotides) under Coxiella sp. RIFCSPHIGHO2_12_FULL_42_15. RNAcentral's name for it is "tRNA-Gly". It matches the Rfam family "tRNA". Rfam says of the family: Transfer RNA (tRNA) molecules are approximately 80 nucleotides in length. Their secondary structure includes four short double-helical elements and three loops (D, anti-codon, and T loops). Lineage: Bacteria; Pseudomonadati; Pseudomonadota; Gammaproteobacteria; Legionellales; Coxiellaceae. The record is from RNAcentral.
GCGGGUGUAGUUUAAUGGUAGAACUAAAGCUUCCCAAGCUUUAAGCGUGGGUUCGAUUCCCAUCACCCGCU